This 2441-nucleotide unclassified non-coding RNA is filed under the name Leishmania donovani. RNAcentral describes it as "gene:LdHU3.30.2930(CDS-product:hypothetical_prote in_conserved)". Lineage: Eukaryota; Euglenozoa; Kinetoplastea; Trypanosomatida; Trypanosomatidae. The record is from RNAcentral.
GCGCGUAUUCGACGCGCUAAUGCGGGUCUUUGUCCUUGUGGCGGUUCGCAGCGGUGACGGCAGCGUAGCCACGUACCCACCCUCUGUGUGGCACCUUCAGCAGUGCGUUCGCGCGCGUAGUUCUUCUUGUUAUCACGCCACCUCUGGCGGAUAUCUGUGGACACGAGACGCGCUGUUUUGUGCGCUUCGUCGAACAGAUGUAGACAUAGCCCCCGCAAACGUCCUGGAGAAUGCAGGUGCAUCACAAGGAGCGACAGCCGCCGCGCCGCCGCGCUUCUACUUCUUCUCGGCGCUCCUUGACGUGGGAAACAACGAGGAGGACGUCGACCUCGUGGCGAUGCUGCUCAUGGAACUGUGCAUUGCGUGGCCAAAUGCCAUCGCGGCUCACAUGGAGGUAUGCCGUGUUUGCCGUGGGGAGCUGUCUCCUGUGCGCGCGUCGUCACCGCUUGCGGCGACCCCAGGCGAAGGUGAAACUGACGAGCCAUCGUGGCAACUCAAACACUUCACGCGAGAGGAGACACUGUUGGUGCUACUAGCGGACGAGAUCGAGGCGACAGCCGCGACACAAGACGGCUUUCUCACGCGGUGGGGCGUCCGCAAUGCGUGGGACCACGACAGAGCGCUGCAGGGCCGCAGCUGGUGGGUGAGCGGGGGUAUUGUGACCGUGCUCCCUUCCGAGGCUGCCACCAGGCUUGUGGAACCCUUUCUGAUGCUGGAGCUGUCGCGGAUGGAGAAUGGGUGCCCCCAGCUGCCCCGCCAUCCCGAGAGUUGCCGUGACUCGAGCCAAACACUUGAAGAGGCGUUGACGCACGCUAUCUUGGAAAGGGAACUCUCACAUAGCGUGAGGGCGUACCUCCGCAAGGAGGUUGAAGGGCGAAUAGAGUCCCGCCCAUUGCAUCGGAUGAUUGUGGUGGUGCCACCAGCGAUGGCGCUGUUUCUCAGGGGUGCGCCGUCCUCUAUGUUGCACGAUUGUUUUCUCUACCACACCGUCGACUGUCCACUCUUCGCGGUGGAGGGCGGCAGCUGCGACGCGGCGCAGAGCUCCACAGAUCGCGCCACCGGUCUCGUGGCCCCAGCGACUAGUCCCACCGCGUUCCUGCGGCCAGUGAAGUCAGGUCUAUCGUCGGCAGACCUGCUAGAGCGGCAGUGUCGUGUCGCUCAUGACGAGACGUCGCGUCUGAUGGAGCUGUUCCGCGAGUACGACCUGCUGCUUUCCGGAGACGGGUAUGUGCGAGUCCCGCUUGCGCCCGUUUCCCGCUACGUUUUUACGCAGUUGCUGUGUCAGUCGGAGCUUCCGUCCGCGCUGAUCCUCGCGCUUAUGCGGCGGCAUUCGGACGUCACACACCGUGCAUGUGACGUGGGCCAUCGCAUCGACCUAGCCGCUGUGUCGAGCAGACCUCCCUUACCCACCGAGGAGGAGGUGAUGCUGGGGAUAAAGGUGACCUGGGCAGUGGAGCGCUGGACGGCCGCGCUACGAAGAGGCUCUGCGGCGGCGCCCCCUGUAGGCCUACAUAUGUGGAAUGAAGAGCAAAGUCUGCGCAAAGAUAAACUGUGCCGAUGGAUUCACGAGCGCAUGCGAAAAGCCAAGCGCGAGGCCGCCGAGUUGUACUCUCUUGAAGACGCUGCCGAUACACAUGCCACAGAUAGAGAAGAGGAUGGCGUCGCUUCGAGGGUGUCUGCGCUCCCGGUCGCGAGCGGUGACACGGCCGACCCGCUGCGGCGCUGCCGAGGUGCCGCAUUGAAGCAGCUGGAGCGGAGACUGUUCGCGCCGUUUCCAUCCUCCUACCGUGGCUCGUCGACCGAGUGGCUUGGGCAAGCUCUCCGUGAUGUCGCGAGAGAGCAAACGCACGCAGCAUCGAACAUGGCACAGCGCGACGAUGUGUGCUCAUCCUUUGCGGGGCCCGCCCCAGCGGCACCCAGAGCUGCUUCAACCAACGCGCUCGACAACUCGUCUAGUUCAAGCCACUCAGACGCGACGUCGGAGGACGGCUCAGAUGGCGCAGGAGGCGUUGGCAUCCCCACACCGCAGGAGACGGAGAGCCUACUUGCACAGCUAACAGAGUUGGAGGUGGUGCUUCAAAACGAACUGGCAAGCCGGGCAACGGUCCCUCUCGCAAGCGGAGGCGACAGUCGGGCAACUGACUUGCGCGGCGGCGUCGGUGAUGCUGUCACCGAGGACCAAGAGAUGGAUGUGACGUCAUGGCUUACUGCCGCAGACAUGCAGCAGAUAACCCGGAACGAGCUUUUCCUGCAUCACGUGCAGCUCCUCGAAUCUGAGAUGGAGCAGGACCAGUAGAGGAGUUGACCGUCCGCCUUACCGUGAAAGGCCGACUGCACACGGCGUGUGGUGUCGCCGCCCCCCCCCCUUUGCACUCGUUGAUGCAGUUGAAUGUGCCUUUCCUUUUGUUUUUUGUUCUCGGUCUGCUAAGCUGAGCACGCAC